RNAcentral lists this long non-coding RNA (273 nucleotides) under Citrus sinensis (sweet orange). RNAcentral's name for it is "long non-coding RNA (CSIN_LNC003821)". The record is from RNAcentral. Lineage: Eukaryota; Viridiplantae; Streptophyta; Magnoliopsida; Sapindales; Rutaceae.
AACACAGGAGUGUUUGAAAUAUUUGGUAAUCAAGUUAUACCAAGUGCAGCUCAAGUUCUUACAUUAAUCAAGUGAGCAGAAUUUCUGUGCAGAAGGGGCAUCUUUGGGAAUUAAACUGUACUGCAUGAGAUCGAAUUAAUUUUCGAGCCAUACAUCAUUGGAAAGAUAUUUCUGUUAGCUUUCCAAUGAAUUUUACUAAUCUAAAUUUGGAGUUUUCUACAGUAAGUUAUGAUCAGUUAAGUGCAGACUAUUCAGUUUUGAGUCAAGAAGAAU